Molecule: long non-coding RNA, 946 nt
Organism: Megalopta genalis
Lineage: Eukaryota; Metazoa; Arthropoda; Insecta; Hymenoptera; Halictidae
Source: RefSeq, a predicted model, not a curated record
CGUGUGCAACGUGAAUGCUGCGCGUCUUAGAUCUGCUACGCGCCGCGGGAUUUACGGCCGGCAGAUCGGCCCGUGCGAUUCCGGGGGAGCAAGGUCCUCCUGGGUUUCGUAAAAACGGGAAUUAGAAACUAUCGAAGCAGGUGUGACAACCGGGAACGGGAUAACAAGCGGCACGCCGCGGCGCUGCCACGUUUAGUCGUCGGCGAACCGAUGCGACAGAAUCAGGAGUGAAAAGCGAGCGCUGUCCAGGAGUCACGUGAUGCCGCGCGGUGGUCCUCUCGCGUCACGUGAGCCAUCCCCACUCCUUGCGCUUGAAAUCUACAUUAGUCCUCCCACCGCCACGCGUGUGACGGAAACUCCGGCGCAAGUCGUGUCCGACAUGAAUUACAAGCUUAUGAAAUAUCGGGGAAAAUUGACUCGCGGACCACACAGGUCGCUGCUGCGAGGCCCUUGUGGGACGAACGUUGGUGGCACGGCGAUUUCUGUAAUUUGCUGGCUCGUUACGUUCGUCUGCGCCGUUUCCAUGGGAUCCGUGUUAUUACCUUGGAACGCGGGCAAUGAUACUUCGAUCUUUUCGCUCGGCGUGCCACGCACUUAGCGCGACGCAGCUGCGCGCCUCGAUGCGGGCGCGCGUACACGCGGCCGCAUUUACGCUCCCCGUUCGACCCCGGGCCAUUGAUCUGUUGAUCUAUACGCACCCGCGUGACCGGCCUCGUUGCGAAACCAUCGAAUGCUGUGGGAGAUAGCGGACGCGGGAAUUCGAAUCCGGCUGGCACGAUAGCCGCGAGAUAUUUUCAGGGAAAUACAAAUUUUGUUUGACUUGAAAUCUGGCUUACUCUUCUGGCAACCGUGGGAAUGGUUAGCUUCUUCAAUGCUAUGCGCACUUAAUAAUUUAUAAACGAGGUAGGCAACUCAUUAUAUAUAUAUAUUAUAUAUAAAAGAGAGU